UACAGAGGUCUCAAGCGUUGUUCGGAUUCAUUGGGCGUAAAGGGUGCGUAGGUGGCGUCGUAAGUCGGGUGUGAAAUCUCGGGGCUUAACUCCGAAACUGCAUUCGAUACUGCCGUGCUUGAGGACUGGAGAGGAGACUGGAAUUUACGGUGUAGCGGUGAAAUGCGUAGAUAUCGUAAGGAAGACCAGUGGCGAAGGCGGGUCUCUGGACAGUUCCUGACGCUGAGGCACGAAGGUCAGGGGAGCAAACGGG
RNAcentral lists this ribosomal RNA (253 nucleotides) under uncultured bacterium. RNAcentral's name for it is "partial 16S ribosomal RNA". It matches the Rfam family "Bacterial small subunit ribosomal RNA", at positions 524 to 776 of the family's 1533-position model. The record is from RNAcentral.